UACGUAGGCAGCAAGCGUUGUUCGGAGUUACUGGGCGUAAAGAGUGUGUAGGCGGUUCUCUAAGUUUGGUGUGAAAUCUCCCGGCUUAACUGGGAGGGUGCGCCGAAAACUGGAGGGCUUGAGUAUGGGAGAGGAAAGCGGAAUUCCUGGUGUAGCGGUGAAAUGCGUAGAUAUCAGGAGGAACACCUGUGGUGUAGACGGCUUUCUGGACCAUCACUGACGCUGAGACACGAAAGCGUGGGGAGCAAACAGGAUUAGAUACCCUGGUAGUCCACGCCCUAAACGAUGCAUACUUGGUGUGAGUCAUUCAGUUGAUUCGUGCCGGAGCUAACGCGUUAAGUAUGCCGCCUGGGGAGUACGGUCGCAAGGCUGAA
This 374-nucleotide ribosomal RNA is filed under the name uncultured bacterium. Its description in RNAcentral is "bacterial SSU rRNA". It matches the Rfam family "Bacterial small subunit ribosomal RNA", at positions 524 to 898 of the family's 1533-position model. The record is from RNAcentral.